RNAcentral lists this ribosomal RNA (452 nucleotides) under uncultured bacterium. RNAcentral's name for it is "bacterial SSU rRNA". It matches the Rfam family "Bacterial small subunit ribosomal RNA", at positions 340 to 786 of the family's 1533-position model. The record is from RNAcentral.
UACGGGGCAGCAGUGGGGAAUAUUGCACAAUGGGCGCAAGCCUGAUGCAGCCAUGCCGCGUGUAUGAAGAAGGCCUUCGGGUUGUAAAGUACUUUCAGUCGUGAGGAAGGUGUUAAGGUUAAUAACCUUAGCAAUUGACGUUAGCGACAGAAGAAGCACCGGCUAACUCCGUGCCAGCAGCCGCGGUAAUACGGAGGGUGCGAGCGUUAAUCGGAAUUACUGGGCGUAAAGGGCACGCAGGCGGUUAAUUAAGUUGGAUGUGAAAUCCCCGGGCUUAACCUGGGAAUGGCAUUCAAGACUGGUUAGCUAGAGUCUUGUAGAGGGGGUAGAAUUCCAUGUGUAGCGGUGAAAUGCGUAGAGAUGUGGAGGAAUACCGGUGGCGAAGGCGGCCCCUGGACAAAGACUGACGCUCAUGUGCGAAAGCGUGGGGAGCGAAACAGGGAUUAGAUACC